CUCCGGGCGGCCGUGACCCUGCUGGAGUGCAGGGGGGGACCUGCAGCCCCCGGGGGGUCCCUGACUCUGCUCUGCCGCGCCUCCGGGUUUGAUUUUGGGAGUUACGCCAUGCACUGGAUCCGCCAGAGCCCCGGGAAGGCGCUGGAAUUCGUCGCAGGGAUUGACAACAGUGGCAGCAGCACCUACUACGCGCCGUCGGUGCAGGGCCGGUUCACGAUCUCCAGGGACAACGGGCAGAGCUCGGUGACGCUGACCAUGAACAGCCUCAAGGACGAGGAUUCCGCCGUUUAUUUCUGUGCCAAAGAUGCUUAUAGUGGUGGUGGUACUGCUGGUGCUGCUGAUGCUUAUGCUGUUUGUUGCCCCAAUGGCCACCACUGA
Catharus ustulatus (Swainson's thrush) is the source of this 378-nucleotide non-coding RNA. The record is from the annotation of a RefSeq genome assembly. NCBI's taxonomy places the organism in Eukaryota, Metazoa, Chordata, Aves, Passeriformes, Turdidae.